This 253-nucleotide ribosomal RNA is filed under the name uncultured bacterium. RNAcentral's name for it is "partial 16S ribosomal RNA". It matches the Rfam family "Bacterial small subunit ribosomal RNA", at positions 524 to 776 of the family's 1533-position model. The record is from RNAcentral.
UACGGGGGGGGCAAGCGUUGCUCGGAAUCACUGGGCGUAAAGCGCACGUAGGCGGACUCUUAAGUCGGGGGUGAAAUCCUGGAGCUCAACUCCAGAACUGCCUUCGAUACUGGCGACCUUGAGUCCGGGAGAGGUGAGUGGAACUCCGAGUGUAGAGGUGAAAUUCGUAGAUAUUCGGAAGAACACCAGUGGCGAAGGCGGCUCACUGGCCCGGUACUGACGCUGAGGUGCGAAAGCGUGGGGAGCAAACAGG